UGCCAGCCGCCGCGGUAAUACGGAGGGGGUUAGCGUUGUUCGGAAUUACUGGGCGUAAAGCGCACGUAGGCGGAUUAGUAAGUUAGGGGUGAAAUCCGGGGCUCAACCCCGCGAAAUGCAAGCGAUACUGGCGGACUGGAGAUCGGUAGAGGCUAGCGGAAUUCCUGGUGUAGCGGUGGGAUGCGUAGAUAUCAGGAAGAACACCCGUGGCGAAGGCGGCUAACUGGCUCGGUACUGACGCUGAGAUGCGAAAGCGUGGGGAGCAAACAGGAUUAGAUA
This 279-nucleotide ribosomal RNA is filed under the name uncultured bacterium. Its description in RNAcentral is "partial 16S ribosomal RNA". It matches the Rfam family "Bacterial small subunit ribosomal RNA", at positions 506 to 784 of the family's 1533-position model. The record is from RNAcentral.